CCCCCAGGUAGAAUACCAAGCCUGUUCCUGAGCCCCUCAGGUAGAAUACCAAGCCUGUUACUGAGCCCCUCAGGUAGAACACCAAGCCUGUUACUGAGCCCCUCAGGUAGAAUACCAAGCCUGUUACUGAGCCCCUCAGGUAGAACACCAAGCCUGUUACUGAGCCCCCCAGGUAGAAUACCAAGCCUGUUACUGAGCCCCUCAGGUAGAACACCAAGCCUGUUACUGAGCCCCUCAGGUAGAAUACCAAGCCUGUUCCUGAGCCCCUCAGGUAGAAUACCAAGCCUGUUCCUGAGCCCCCCAGGUAGAAUAUCAAGCCUGUUACUGAGCCCCUCAGGUAGAACACCAAGCCUGUUACUGAGCCCCUCAGGCAGAACACCAAACCUGUUACUGAGCCACUCAGGUAGAACACCAAGCCUGUUACUGAGCCCCUCAGGUAGAAUACCAAGCCUGUUCCUGAGCCCCCCCAGGUAGAAUAUCAAGCCUGUUACUGAGCCCCCCAGGUAGAAUACCAAGCCUGUUCCUGAGCCCCUCAGGUAGAAUACCAAGCCUGUUCCUGAGCCCCUCAGGUAGAACACCAAGCCUGUUACUGAGCCCCUCAGGUAGAAUACCAGGCCUGUUACUGAGCCCCUCAGGUAGAACACCAAACCUGUUACUGAGCCCCUCAGGUAUAAUAUCAAGCCUGUUACUGAGCCCCCCAGGUAGAACACCAAGCCUGUUACUGAGCCCCUCAGGUAGAAUACCAAGCCUGUUCCUGAGCCCCCCAGGUAGAAUAUCAAGCCUGUUACUGAGCCCCUCAGGUAGAAUAUCAAGCCUGUUACUGAGCCCCUCAGGUAGAAUAUCAAGCCUGUUACUGAGCCCCUCAGGUAGAAUACCAUGCCUGUUCCUGAGCCCCCCAGGUAGAAUAUCAAGCCUGUUCCUGAGACCCUCAGGUAGAAUACCAAGCCUGUUACUGAGCCCCUCAGGUAGAACACCAAACCUGUUACUGAGCCG
Long non-coding RNA from Oncorhynchus keta (chum salmon), 993 nucleotides. RefSeq lists it as uncharacterized. Lineage: Eukaryota; Metazoa; Chordata; Actinopteri; Salmoniformes; Salmonidae. The transcript has 3 exons. The record is from RefSeq and is a predicted model, not a curated record.